GUCCACGCCGUAAACGAUGAAUACUAGGUGUCGGGUGGCAAAGCCAUUCGGUGCCGCAGCUAACGCAAUAAGUAUUCCACCUGGGGAGUACGUUCGCAAGAAUGAAACUCAAAGGAAUUGACGGGGACCCGCACAAGCGGUGGAGCAUGUGGUUUAAUUCGACGCAACGCGAAGAACCUUACCAAGUCUUGACAUCCUUUUGACCGGUCGGUAAUGCGACCUUCUCUUCGGAGCAAAAGUGACAGGUGGUGCAUGGUUGUCGU
RNAcentral lists this ribosomal RNA (263 nucleotides) under uncultured bacterium. RNAcentral's name for it is "partial 16S ribosomal RNA". It matches the Rfam family "Bacterial small subunit ribosomal RNA", at positions 793 to 1055 of the family's 1533-position model. The record is from RNAcentral.